AUACGUAGGUGGCGAGCGUUGUCCGGAAUUACUGGGUGUAAAGGGCGUGUAGGCGGGGAUAUAAGUCAGAUGUGAAAUACCGAGGCUUAACUUCGGGGCUGCAUCUGAAACUAUAUUUCUUGAGUGUCGGAGAGGAAAGUGGAAUUCCCAGUGUAGCGGUGAAAUGCGUAGAUAUUGGGAGGAACACCAGUGGCGAAGGCGACUUUCUGGACGACAACUGACGCUGAGGCGCGAAAGCGUGGGGAGCAAACAGGAUUAGAUACCCUGGUAGUCCACGCCGUAAACGAUGGAUACUAGGUGUAGGAGGUAUCGACCCCUUCUGUGCCGGAGUUAACACAAUAAGUAUCCCACCUGGGGAGUACGACCGCAAGGUUGAA
RNAcentral lists this ribosomal RNA (377 nucleotides) under uncultured bacterium. Its description in RNAcentral is "bacterial SSU rRNA". It matches the Rfam family "Bacterial small subunit ribosomal RNA", at positions 523 to 898 of the family's 1533-position model. The record is from RNAcentral.